UCAAUGGGCGACUAGGGUUCCGGUCCGCACUGCGGAUGACUGGUCCGAGAGUCGCCGACCUCUCCAACGAGGGGUUACACGGCGGGACAAAAGCCCGGGAGAU
RNAcentral lists this small RNA (103 nucleotides) under Guyparkeria sp. XI15. Its description in RNAcentral is "Halothiobacillus sp. XI15 Guanidine-I riboswitch aptamer". It matches the Rfam family "Guanidine-I riboswitch aptamer". From Rfam's summary of the family: This family represents a conserved RNA structure found upstream of the ykkC and yxkD genes in Bacillus subtilis and related genes in other bacteria. RNAcentral also lists the same sequence under 1 other name. The record is from Rfam by way of RNAcentral. Lineage: Bacteria; Pseudomonadati; Pseudomonadota; Gammaproteobacteria; Chromatiales; Thioalkalibacteraceae.